AUUAACCAGACGAAGAGGAGGAAAGACAUACUCCUUGAUCUUUUUCUCUUUGUGUAUAUUUGUGAUUUAAAAAAAAAAGUCAAUAAAUUUAGGAUUUUAAUUGGAGGAGUAAACAAAUAUUAAUAUUGAAAUUUAGAAUUUUAAUUCUUUUCGUUUUCUUAUGAAGAUUUAUUAUUAUUUAUCCACUUCUAAUUUUUUUUGUGGUUAUCAUUUGAUUCCUUUCUAUCGUCGUUUUAACCGACUUUUCAACAGUCAGCGAUUUUCCUUCCACGCCAAAUUCACCUCUGUGUCUCUGAGCUUUUCGCUAUGGAUCUGGUUUUCCGAAAUUGCAUAAACGCAUCAUCUUUCUCCUCUGAGAAUCACAGAAAUGUACACCCACGUUCCAAGAUUUCACACUCAACGUCUCAAAGAAGGAACAGAUGGUCGCCGAUUCGAGUUUCGAGUCUCGCAGCGGCGUCCACAGCUGAAAAUUCCAGAAAUGGAACCGCCACAGCAACUAGGACCAAUAGGAGCAUAGCGUCUACCACUGAGAAUGACAACAAAGCUUCUUUACGGUUACUAGGCAAGUCUAGCGCCGCCCUGGAACAACUCGACAUCGAGCGCGGAGUCUGCGUGCCGUUUCGAAAGUACUCUCCCGAGACAGUGAGGAAUAAGGUAUUGGAAUCCAGAGCAUCUAUAGUGUCUCUAAUGUUACGUGGAGUGGAAAUAGUGUGGAAUUUGGGAUUGUACUGGUCUGCCUUGAUGUAUGAUUGCUUGGUAGGAAGGGAUAAAGAGGUUGUUCCAUAUCGUGCUCGUCAGCUGAGAAACCUCUUGUGCGAUUUAGGACCUUCUUUUAUCAAAGCUGGGCAGGUUCUCGCCAACAGACCUGAUAUCAUUAGAGAAGAUUACAUGAAUGAGCUCUGCAUUCUUCAAGAUGAUGUUCCUCCUUUCCCCAAUCAGGUUGCUUUCAAAAUUAUAGAAGAGGAAUUGGGCCAACCUCUGGAAGCUGUAUUCACCAAAAUUUCAUCACAAACAAUAGCAGCUGCAAGCUUGGGUCAAGUUUACCGAGCUACCUUACGAGAUACAGGCGAGGAUGUUGCAAUUAAGGUGCAAAGGCCUGAGAUAGAACCUAUAAUCUACCGGGACCUUUUUCUUUUCAGAACUCUUGCUUCAUUCCUAAAUGGUAUCAGCUUACAGAAACUGGGAUGCAAUGCUGAGCUGAUAGUUGAUGAAUUUGGUGAGAAACUUUUGGAGGAGCUUGAUUACACCUUGGAAGCUCGGAAUAUUGAAGAUUUUCUGGAAAACUUCAAAGAUGAUCCUACCGUUAAAAUUCCUCUGGUUUACAGAAAUCUUUCUGGUUCCCGUGUUUUAGUAAUGGAGUGGAUAGAUGGUAUUCGGUGCACAAACCCACAGGCUAUCAAGGAAGCUGGCAUUGACGUAAAUGGAUUUUUAACAGUUGGGGUGAGUGCUGCUUUGCGGCAAUUGCUAGAGUUUGGGUUAUUUCAUGGAGACCCACAUCCUGGGAAUAUUUUUGCUAUGCGAGAUGGACGUAUUGCAUAUGUGGACUUUGGGAAUGUUGCAGUUCUUAGUCAGCAAAAUAAGCAAAUACUGAUUGAUGCUGUUGUGCAUGCUGUAAAUGAGGACUAUGUUGAGAUGGCAAAUGAUUUCACUAGGCUUGGCUUCUUGGCCAGUGGAACUGAUGUCUCUCCCAUCAUUCCAGCUUUGGAAGCAAUUUGGCAGAAUUCAGUUGGGAAAGGACUUUCUGAUUUUAAUUUCAGAAUUGUUACAGGGAAAUUUAACCAGUUGGUUUACAAUUAUCCCAUCCGUAUACCAGAGCGAUUUUCCCUUGUUAUCCGUUCUUUAUUGACUCAAGAGGGCAUCUGUUUCACCCUGAAGCCAGAUUUUAAAUUUCUUGAGGUUGCCUACCCAUAUGUGGCAAAGCGCCUACUAACAGACCCAAAUCCAGCUCUUCGUGAACGCCUAAUACAGGUUUUGUUUAAAGAUGGUGUUUUCCAGUGGAAACGGCUUGAAAACCUUAUUGUUCUUGCAAAGGAGAAUGUAGCUAGGAUGAGCAGCAACCCUGCAUUGCAAGUAAAGAAUAUGCGAAAUUCAAGAAACUUGCAUGUGGAAAGGAAGCUAGAUCUGACAGACACUAUAAAAGAUGGAGCUCGCCUUUUCUUUACUGACGAAGGAAUUCGUAGACAGCUGCUUUUGGCGCUGACUGAAGAUUCAAAGCUUCACAUUGAAGAGUUGGGAUUCGUUAGUCUUUAUUCUGAAAUGACAUUUGCCUUCUGUAGCUUGUAGAUGUUUAUAGACUGGUUGAGGAUGAAUUAGAUAUACCUUCAGUAGCUGUUGAAGUUGUACGAGACUUUCCAAAUGUUAUCCGGGAUCUCAUGCUUUCAUGGUGUGACUCGGUCUUAUCUGACAGAUGAUUAAUGCUUGGUGUGGCAGCAUGUAUAAAAAUUUGCAAGUUUGAAUUAAACUAUACAGGCCAACGAAAGGCUUCUAAGUUCUACCUUUCUUCUUUUGCGGUGAGGAAUUUUUUUCAAGUUGUAAAUGCCAAGCGAAAAAACAUUAUUUGUUACGAGAGGAAAGAAGAUCUCCAUGCAAUGUGGUUUCCUUUAGACAAUA
Molecule: RNA transcript, 2610 nt
Organism: Hevea brasiliensis (rubber tree)
Lineage: Eukaryota; Viridiplantae; Streptophyta; Magnoliopsida; Malpighiales; Euphorbiaceae
Gene name: protein ACTIVITY OF BC1 COMPLEX KINASE 1, chloroplastic
Exons: 14
Source: RefSeq, a predicted model, not a curated record